AGGGGGCCCUAGAGCAAAGGGCCAAGGGGGGAUAAAAAAACGGUGUGCGGAAGGCAAUGCCAAGUUUCACGGGUUGUGAGAAGUUUGUGGGCUGGAAAGGUCAUCAAUGCAGUCUUUGCCUUAAUGAGACACCUGGGACUUACCUCUCUGCCCUGGAUCACUGUCACAGCAGUUAAAAAAAUAACCUGAGACAAUAUAUGAGCAAAGAACAAUUCUUAUGAGAAGACAUACAAGCAGUUGAUAGACAUUUGGAACUUGUUAAAAUUCACAGGAAGAAGAGCAAGGAUAAAACCCAGCCUUCAGAGGCAUCAGCUGGCCAGACAGAGACUAAGAAGCAAGCAUCGGUCCGUGACUGAAGCAGAGGGCAAGAUUGCUAGCUGGCUUUGGGUGCCCUGUGAGAAGAGAGACCCCAGGCAUUCAAGAGGCCUAGA
Lontra canadensis (Northern American river otter) is the source of this 431-nucleotide long non-coding RNA. RefSeq lists it as uncharacterized. The transcript is spliced from 4 exons. NCBI's taxonomy places the organism in Eukaryota, Metazoa, Chordata, Mammalia, Carnivora, Mustelidae. The record is from RefSeq and is a predicted model, not a curated record.